Molecule: ribosomal RNA, 253 nt
Filed under: uncultured bacterium
Lineage: Bacteria
Description: partial 16S ribosomal RNA
Rfam family: Bacterial small subunit ribosomal RNA
Source: RNAcentral
GACGUAGGAUGCAAGCGUUGUCCGGAUUUACUGGGCGUAAAGAGCGCGCAGGCGGUCGAUCAAGUCGCGUGUGAAAGCCCCCGGCUCAACUGGGGAGGGUCACGCGAUACUGAUCGACUCGAAGGCAGGAGAGGGUAGUGGAAUUCCCGGUGUAGUGGUGAAAUGCGUAGAUAUCGGGAGGAACACCAGUGGCGAAGGCGACUACCUGGCCUGUUCUUGACGCUGAGGCGCGAAAGCUAGGGGAGCAAACGGG